Molecule: ribosomal RNA, 294 nt
Filed under: uncultured bacterium
Lineage: Bacteria
Description: partial 16S ribosomal RNA
Rfam family: Bacterial small subunit ribosomal RNA
Source: RNAcentral
GGAUUAGAUACCCUGGUAGUCCACGCUGUAAACGCUGUCUACUAGCUGUGUGUUGUUUUAUAACGAUGCGUGGCGCAGCUAACGCGUUAAGUAGACCGCCUGGGGAGUACGGCCGCAAGGUUAAAACUCAAAUGAAUUGACGGGGGCCCGCACAAGCGGUGGAGCAUGUGGUUUAAUUCGAUGCAACGCGAAGAACCUUACCAUCCCUUGACAUCCCAAGAACUUAGCAGAGAUGCUUUGGUGCCUUCGGGAGCUUGGAGACAGGUGCUGCAUGGCUGUCGUCAGCUCGUGUUG